Molecule: ribosomal RNA, 821 nt
Filed under: Enterococcus lactis
Lineage: Bacteria; Bacillati; Bacillota; Bacilli; Lactobacillales; Enterococcaceae
Description: bacterial SSU rRNA
Rfam family: Bacterial small subunit ribosomal RNA
Source: RNAcentral
GGGCAUGGGGGUGCUAUACAUGCAGUCGUACGCUUCUUUUUCCACCGGAGCUUGCUCCACCGGAAAAAGAAGAGUGGCGAACGGGUGAGUAACACGUGGGUAACCUGCCCAUCAGAAGGGGAUAACACUUGGAAACAGGUGCUAAUACCGUAUAACAAUCGAAACCGCAUGGUUUUGAUUUGAAAGGCGCUUUCGGGUGUCGCUGAUGGAUGGACCCGCGGUGCAUUAGCUAGUUGGUGAGGUAACGGCUCACCAAGGCCACGAUGCAUAGCCGACCUGAGAGGGUGAUCGGCCACAUUGGGACUGAGACACGGCCCAAACUCCUACGGGAGGCAGCAGUAGGGAAUCUUCGGCAAUGGACGAAAGUCUGACCGAGCAACGCCGCGUGAGUGAAGAAGGUUUUCGGAUCGUAAAACUCUGUUGUUAGAGAAGAACAAGGAUGAGAGUAACUGUUCAUCCCUUGACGGUAUCUAACCAGAAAGCCACGGCUAACUACGUGCCAGCAGCCGCGGUAAUACGUAGGUGGCAAGCGUUGUCCGGAUUUAUUGGGCGUAAAGCGAGCGCAGGCGGUUUCUUAAGUCUGAUGUGAAAGCCCCCGGCUCAACCGGGGAGGGUCAUUGGAAACUGGGAGACUUGAGUGCAGAAGAGGAGAGUGGAAUUCCAUGUGUAGCGGUGAAAUGCGUAGAUAUAUGGAGGAACACCAGUGGCGAAGGCGGCUCUCUGGUCUGUAACUGACGCUGAGGCUCGAAAGCGUGGGGAGCAAACAGGAUUAGAUACGGGGGGGGUCCACAAAAAAAAGGGCCCCGAACCAUAGCUAUAUG